GUGGGGAAUCUUCCGCAAUGGACGAAAGUCUGACGGAGCAACGCCGCGUGAGUGAUGAAGGUCUUCGGAUUGUAAAGCUCUGUUAAUCGGGACGAAAGAGCCUAGUGUGAAUAAUGCUAGGAAGUGACGGUACCGGAAUAGAAAGCCACGGCUAACUACGUGCCAGCAGCCGCGGUAAUACGUAGGUGGCAAGCGUUGUCCGGAAUUAUUGGGCGUAAAGCGCGCGCAGGCGGAUCUGCCAGUCUGUCUUAAAAGUUCGGGGCUUAACCCCGUGAUGGGAUGGAAACUACAGAUCUAGAGUAUCGGAGAGGAAAGUGGAAUUCCUAGCGUAGCGGUGAAAUGCGUAGAUAUUAGGAAGAACACCAGUGGCGAAGGCGACUUUCUGGACGAAAACUGACGCUGAGGCGCGAAAGCCAGGGGAGCGAACGGGAUUAGAUACCCUUGUAGUCC
Molecule: ribosomal RNA, 450 nt
Filed under: uncultured bacterium
Lineage: Bacteria
Description: partial 16S ribosomal RNA
Rfam family: Bacterial small subunit ribosomal RNA
Source: RNAcentral